UAACAUAGUUAAACACCCGUUAACCGAGACCUAUGGGUGUAUAAAUCACGUCUCUCAUAUCCCCGCUAAGGGUGCGGGGAGCAUAGUAUCUCCA
This 94-nucleotide non-coding RNA is filed under the name unclassified sequences. RNAcentral describes it as "PhotoRC-II RNA". It matches the Rfam family "PhotoRC-II RNA". The record is from RNAcentral.